This 377-nucleotide ribosomal RNA is filed under the name uncultured bacterium. RNAcentral describes it as "bacterial SSU rRNA". It matches the Rfam family "Bacterial small subunit ribosomal RNA", at positions 524 to 898 of the family's 1533-position model. The record is from RNAcentral.
UACGUAGGGUGCAAGCGUUGUCCGGAAUUAUUGGGCGUAAAGAGCUCGUAGGCGGUUUGUCGCGUCUGCUGUGAAAUCCCGAGGCUCAACCUCGGGCUUGCAGUGGGUAUGGGCAGACUAGAGUGCGGUAGGGGAGAUUGGAAUUCCUGGUGUAGCGGUGGAAUGCGCAGAUAUCAGGAGGAACACCGAUGGCGAAGGCAGAUCUCUGGGCCGUAACUGACGCUGAGGAGCGAAAGCAUGGGGAGCGAACAGGAUUAGAUACCCUGGUAGUCCAUGCCGUAAACGUUGGGCGCUAGAUGUAGGGACCUUUCCACGGUUUCUGUGUCGUAGCUAACGCAUUAAGCGCCCCGCCUGGGGAGUACGGCCGCAAGGCUAAA